RNAcentral lists this long non-coding RNA (2161 nucleotides) under Vitis vinifera (wine grape). RNAcentral describes it as "long non-coding RNA (VVIN_LNC008161)". Lineage: Eukaryota; Viridiplantae; Streptophyta; Magnoliopsida; Vitales; Vitaceae. The record is from RNAcentral.
UUUGCUGGCAACAACAGUACCGAUUCUGAUAAUGCUCCUCCACGCACAUAUCUGUAGAGCUGUGUCGCCUGUGAGGAGCAACUCCUCCACAAGUGGGUGCUGCAAUGGCGACCAAGAGGAGUGGCUGGUUGGGGACAUAGCCCCGGAGGAGGAGUUUUUGAUGGGUUCUGAAACAAACAGGAGGUUGCAGGCUUCCAAUCAUGUCACUGACGGCUCCAAACAUCCCAAGAAACCUGCUGUGCCUUGUAGACCUCUUAAACGCUAUGUAACUUGCUUCCCCACGAAAAACCCAAAAGUUCGUAAAUUCAGACAAAAUUGUGCCAUGUACACGCGUGGCUGCUCUCAUUGAUCUCGCCUAUCCCUCAUUUUUAUCGUCUCAUUUGGUGUUCAAUAGUGUAUGGCCCAUGAAAUAAAACUCCCUUGGCAGGAAGUGUAUGUUAACAAAAUUAUUUGCUUCUACCAUUAUUUGUGGUCCUCCGUCUAGAACUUAUUCAACGCUUGUAACCUCUCUUUCUCGUUGUUCGAAUUCUAUGUUAUAUAUGUUGUGUUCUUUUGGAUUGAAUAAUUCACUCUUACCAGCAAAAUGUCCACUUGAAGGUGUGUCGCCUAAUUAUACUGUUAGUGCUUGUCUUGGCAAUUUUGGUUCAAAAAUCCUAUUCGGCAUGAUUAACUCGGUGUCAUGCUCCUUUCUCGGGCCGCUUGCUUUUCCAAACUUGAUCCAGGUGGGGGAACAUAAGCAUGUUUUGGAUUGAUUUCAUCCAAUUAUUCCCAAGAGGCCUGACACAGGAGUACUCGAGGUCUUUAGAGGUGGUUGAUCAAUCUACUUAUGGAUGAUAGCAAUCAACGCCCUAACAGAACUGUCAACUCCUGAUUGAUUUUCUGAUAAUUGCCUAAGAUCAAUUGGCCGCCCCUUCUUGUAGUGCUAUCAAGCACUUGUAAUUCUUUGUCUUUGCCGGACUAGUCCAUGCUCAAAUCUUCACAUCUGUGGUUCAAUUUGAACCGUGGAAAAGGAUGUUUAUGUAUCUCAUUGCUAUUCUCGGUGAAAAUUUACCAUAGUAUCCAUGCUUAUGUAAGGAAAACCAUAAAAUGGGGAAAUUUGUUUGAAAUUUGAUCUCUUAGUUUGACGUGUAUGUCUCUUUCUUAUUCCCCAAUUUCAAAUUUGAUCACCAUGGGGGCUUCAAAAUCCCUUCCCAUGUGGCAAUAAGACAUCAUUUGCAAAAUCCAUCCCGUAUAGCACAAUAAAUACAAUUAGACAACCACCGUCGUUUUAUUAAUCAAUAGAAUAAAACCUUAGAGGCUAAACACUUUUUUAUUUGAGAUUGUCUUUUUAUUUUGACUUUUAAAAACUUUUGUACAAGAGUAAAUUGUAACACCCCUUUAAACCCUAAUGAAUAUUGUCUUUAAUAAAUAUACGAGGAAACUUUUACAUUCGAUUAAAUAACCAAUAAAUACACACAAAUGAUGUGACAUGAGAUACAAAUGAAUAUCAAGGAAUAAUGAACAAAAGAAUGAAAAUAUAAAUAAUUUGAAUGAAAGUAAAUUAAAUUCAUUUCUAUUUUCUUCCUUGUCAAAAAUAUAUACAAACAAAAAAACCUCAGUUAUUUAUAAUGACUUAUUCUCAAAAUGGUCUCACAAAAAUUCAAUUAUUUAUUGGAAGGGAAGUUUAGAAAAGGAAUUUUAUUUUCAUAAAAUGUAAUUACAAAGAAUCUCACUCCCUUAAAAUACAUUAUGAAUCGUAAUUUUAAUCAUUUUCCAAAAAUUAACUAAUCACUAUUUUCAAAUUAUUUCAACAAAUUUAUUAUUCAAAAAAAAAAUUAUACCAAAUUUAUUUUUGGAAUAGUACUCCAACUGAAAAUUACUUAUGCCUAAAUUAUUUCCAAAACAAACUUUACCCAGCUAUCACUUCAUCCCUAAAUUGAAUUUUAAAUAAAUUUCCAUCAUUUAACAAAGAUAUCAAAAGAGUCUAUUGAUCCUAACUUCUUUUCAACAUAAUCCUAUCAAAUUUUCCUUCUUAAAACAUUUACAAAAUUAAUUUAAUUCCUAAUUUUCCUAGAAAAAAUCCCAAUUAUUAUUAAAAAUACCACAAAAAUAAAAAUUAGUCCUAAUUUAUUUGUACAAAAUUCUAAAGAAGAUACCCAUUUUAUUUCUACCACAUUUUCAC